Molecule: ribosomal RNA, 307 nt
Filed under: uncultured bacterium
Lineage: Bacteria
Description: bacterial SSU rRNA
Rfam family: Bacterial small subunit ribosomal RNA
Source: RNAcentral
ACUCCUACGGGAGGCGAGCAGUGGGAAUAUUGCACAAUGGGCGCAAGCCUGAUGCAGCCAUGCCGCGUGUGUGAAGAAGGCCUUCGGGUUGUAAAGCACUUUCAGUCGUGAGGAAGGUAGUGUAGUUAAUAGCUGCAUUAUUUGACGUUAGCGACAGAAGAAGCACCGGCUAACUCCGUGCCAGCAGCCGCGGUAAUACGGAGGGUGCGAGCGUUAAUCGGAAUUACUGGGCGUAAAGCGCAUGCAGGUGGUUUGUUAAGUCAGAUGUGAAAGCCCGGGGCUCAAGCCUCGGAAUUGCAUUUGAAAC